AGUGAACGCUGGCGGUAGGCCUAACACAUGCAAGUCGAACGGCAGCAACGUAAGAGCUUGCUCUUACGGGUGGCGAGUGGCGGACGGGUGAGGAAUACAUCGGAAUCUACUUUUUCGUGGGGGAUAACGUAGGGAAACUUACGCUAAUACCGCAUACGACCUACGGGUGAAAGCAGGGGAUCUUCGGACCUUGCGCGAUUGAAUGAGCCGAUGUCGGAUUAGCCAGUUGGCGGGGUAAAGGCCCACCAAGGCGACGAUCCGUAGCUGGUCUGAGAGGAUGAUCAGCCACACUGGAACUGAGACACGGUCCAGACUCCUACGGGAGGCAGCAGUAGGGAAUAUUGGACAAUGGGCGCAAGCCUGAUCCAGCCAUGCCGCGUGAGUGAAGAAGGCCUUCGGGUUGUAAAACCCUGUUGUUGGGAAAGAAAAGCAGCAGGUUUAUACCCCGGUGUUCUGACGGUACCCAAAGAAUAAGCACCGGCUAACUUCGUG
Molecule: ribosomal RNA, 492 nt
Filed under: uncultured bacterium
Lineage: Bacteria
Description: partial 16S ribosomal RNA
Rfam family: Bacterial small subunit ribosomal RNA
Source: RNAcentral